Molecule: non-coding RNA, 104 nt
Organism: Mus musculus (house mouse)
Lineage: Eukaryota; Metazoa; Chordata; Mammalia; Rodentia; Muridae
Source: Rfam
UUCUUUUUGUUGUUCUUAAGUAUGAUUAUUAAGUGUUUACACCAUUGUAUGACACAUGCCUCCUUCAACCCUCAUUAUGACAUUAUUACACUAUCCAUCUGACA